Long non-coding RNA from Armigeres subalbatus, 1295 nucleotides. RefSeq lists it as uncharacterized. The transcript is spliced from 3 exons. The record is from RefSeq and is a predicted model, not a curated record. NCBI's taxonomy places the organism in Eukaryota, Metazoa, Arthropoda, Insecta, Diptera, Culicidae.
CUAAAAUAAAUAACGAUGUGAUUCGUUUCUGAGAACUAAACUAAAGCAGACGUUUAUUAAUCUAUUUUUCACUCUUCGAUUCCCUGCUCUAAUAGUAUAGAAAGCCGUGGUUUUAUCGUCAGUCGGUCCUAUGGUAGAACAUUUCAGUUGGCGACGAGUGUAAAAGGUUUUUAAAAAAGUGAACGCAAAAGAAUCGUGGGCGCAAUAAAUUUUGCUUACGGCAAUCGGUCUACUAUCGCCAUCUUUGACAUCGCUGGACAACCGCUUCGACGAGCGCCAUCAUCAAGCGAAACGAGAUACUACAAUAGGAAACUCCAUGAAACCGAUUUUGUAACGCGUGCAGCAUUUCGAGUCGGAAACCUCUGGAAAUUUCGAGUCGGAAUCCUCUGGAGACAGAAUCUCGUUCCAUCUGAGGUGAUAGUGGCUUUAGUAUCAUUCGAUCGGUGAAACCCGCUAUUGCGGUACACAACAACCGUUUACUGGAGUACCAGGUGAUUCCCACGGCGGUCGAUAUUAUCUAUCGGUCAAGCGGUUGCGGUUCAGGUAGAACAAAUCCUCGACGUCAACUGACGGCUUGCGUGGUUGCCCAGAGGCGAUAACCGCGAGUAGCGAGCCCUUAUCUUUAACCGGUGUCGGCAAAAGCCGAAGGACGAUUCUGGUGGAAAUUGGAAGCGUGCAAACCAUGGCGCACUGAGGACAGCUUCGCAUAGGUAGAGAUUCACACAACAAAGUAAACAUGCGUAUGAUUCGGCAACAGCCGACGACAAACCCUAGCCAACAGAUAUCUCAUGGAUCUCCGGAAGUGGCUAAAAGAAGUGGCAAGAAGCGCAAAGCAGAAGACGAGUCGAGUCAUGACACCCCAGAAGCUGCGGAAUUUGUACCUAGGCGUUCGAAAAGACAGAGAAAAGUUAAGAAAGAUAGUGAUUUUAUAUACCUAGAGUAGUUCACGUUUGUGAAUUCGAAGCAUAGAGUUUAGAUUUUGAACUCUAUUUCCGAUCGAUAUUAUGUCUUGUAUUUAGACAAUCUGAAACAUGAAUUAUAAUUUGAACUUUAUAUUAUAUAUUAUAUAUAUAUUAUAUUUGUAAAUUUGAACUUGUAAAGUAGGAAGGGCUGUGGUGUUUACAGUCAACGUGUAGCUCGAUGAAUUAAUAAUGAGCAUUCUGAAUAAGAGUGUACACGAAAAGCGAAUCCCGUUUAACGGAACACACAUACAGGGGAUCGCCGAACAAGCGAUCGUGCAGAUGAAGGUCUGAUGGAAAACUAAAAUAAAUAACGAUGUCAUUCGUUUCUGAGAA